This is a long non-coding RNA of Mastomys coucha (southern multimammate mouse), 584 nucleotides long. RefSeq lists it as uncharacterized. The transcript is spliced from 3 exons. NCBI's taxonomy places the organism in Eukaryota, Metazoa, Chordata, Mammalia, Rodentia, Muridae. The record is from RefSeq and is a predicted model, not a curated record.
GGAAGAGAGCGGGGUCCGGACUGACGGCGGGGAGCCUGUGUCUGAAAUCCAGGAGUUCCACGGAGUUCUGACCACGAUGGAAAGGAUAGAUGAGACACCAUAACAGAUAAGGUCGAAGAGUUCCAGUCCUUUCUGCAGUCCCUUCACUCUCAAAUUCAACUUCUGUGUGCUUUAGAUGUUUUAUUUAAUUCGGAGGGCAACUCUGCAGGGCUGGGCUUCCGUUGAUGAACAGCGGAAUGAACAGCGGGAUGAACAGAGGGAUGAACAGCGGGAUGAACAGAGGGAUGAACAGCGGAAUGAACAGCGGGAUGAACAGCGGGAUGAACAGCGGGAUGAGCAGAGAGAUGAACAGUGGGAUGAACAGCGGGAUGAACAGCGGGAUGAACAGCGGGAUGAACAGCGGGAUGAACAGCGGGAUGAACAGAGGGAUGAACAGUGGGAUGAACAACAGGAUGAACAGUGGGAUGAAUAACAGGAUGAACAGUGGGAUGAACAACAGGAUGAACAGUGGGAUGAAUAACAGGAUGAACAGCGGGAUGAACAGGGUGACUUUACCCACUGAACCCUCUACACUGUGUGUACUU